CUGUAUAUAUAUAAAGUUUUUCCCUGAUUUGAAACAUUCAUUACACAAAUAUUAUGCCCAGGUAUAUUUCUAGAAUUUUUUAGCACGUUUAUCACAACUGAUAAAUUUUUUACUAAACAAUAAAUAUUUCCGCACCUUUUUUCACAUUAGAACACUUCAACAUGAGCUCCGUUUGUUACAACGGAGAAGGUCUUGUUGAUGCUUGAUUUCUCUCCAUUUAUUAACAUCCUUAUCAGUCAUCGUCGAAAAGCAUUAGUUUUCCUUUGUUUGAAAUUUCGUAUCAAGAACUGGUAUCAAAUGCAUUUUAUAACCCAUAUAAAAAUAAACCCAUAUAACCUAUAUAAAAUAAAGAGAAGAGAAAACUCAAGAGGGAAUAAUAUUGAGUUGACCAUGGUAAUCUGGUUGGACCAUCCCUCCCAAUCCAUCGGUGAUUUGUCACCAAGAACUGACGAAUAUCUAAAUCCCAGCGUGAUAGCGCGCGAUCUUAUUGAAUAAUUAUCUGUGGCUGAAAUUCUUCUGAUUGAGGUACAACAUCUUCCUAGACGUUAUUUUGAUACUGAAAAUUGCAGCGCUGAUUACAUCGUCCAUAUAUUACCAUUACAUCAUCCAUAUAUCUA
This 617-nucleotide long non-coding RNA is filed under the name Androctonus crassicauda. The record is from RNAcentral. Lineage: Eukaryota; Metazoa; Arthropoda; Arachnida; Scorpiones; Buthidae.